CCACCGUUCCUCUUGUAUACGCACACGUUCGUUCUCUCGUUUCCGAAUAAUGACAUAUUCGAUUCAACAAGCUAAACGUUUCUAUUAUCGACUGGGUAGUCCCGCUGCGCAGCAAAGGCCCACUGCGGGCACAGGGUGUCCUAAUGUCGGAAUUAUUAAUGACACUCCGAGUGUAUGUUUGCCAACUUCACCUGGCCUACCACCGGGUGUUACAAUAAUUUUCUGC
This is a non-coding RNA of Cinara cedri, 226 nucleotides long. The record is from the annotation of a GenBank genome assembly. NCBI's taxonomy places the organism in Eukaryota, Metazoa, Arthropoda, Insecta, Hemiptera, Aphididae.